This 257-nucleotide ribosomal RNA is filed under the name uncultured prokaryote. Its description in RNAcentral is "partial 16S ribosomal RNA". It matches the Rfam family "Bacterial small subunit ribosomal RNA", at positions 524 to 780 of the family's 1533-position model. The record is from RNAcentral.
UACGUAGGGUGCGAGCGUUGUCCGGAAUUAUUGGGCGUAAAGAGCUUGUAGGCGGUUUGUCGCGUCUGCUGUGAAAAUCCGAGGCUCAACCUCGGACUUGCAGUGGGUACGGGCAGACUAGAGUGUGGUAGGGGAGACUGGAAUUCCUGGUGUAGCGGUGAAAUGCGCAGAUAUCAGGAGGAACACCGAUGGCGAAGGCAGGUCUCUGGGCCACUACUGACGCUGAGAAGCGAAAGCAUGGGUAGCGAACAGGAUUA